This 402-nucleotide ribosomal RNA is filed under the name uncultured prokaryote. RNAcentral's name for it is "bacterial SSU rRNA". It matches the Rfam family "Bacterial small subunit ribosomal RNA", at positions 355 to 774 of the family's 1533-position model. The record is from RNAcentral.
UGGGGAAUAUUGGACAAUGGGCGCAAGCCUGAUCCAGCCAUGCCGCGUGAGUGAUGAAGGCCUUAGGGUUGUAAAGCUCUUUCAGUAGGGAAGAUAAUGACGGUACCUACAGAAGAAGCCCCGGCUAACUUCGUGCCAGCAGCCGCGGUAAUACGAAGGGGGCUAGCGUUGUUCGGAUUUACUGGGCGUAAAGCGCACGUAGGCGGAUCGUUAAGUUAGGGGUGAAAUCCUGGAGCUCAACUCCAGAACUGCCUCUAAUACUGGCGAUCUAGAGUCCGGAAGAGGUGAGUGGAACUCCUAGUGUAGAGGUGGAAUUCGUAGAUAUUAGGAAGAACACCAGUGGCGAAGGCGGCUCACUGGUCCGGUACUGACGCUGAGGUGCGAAAGCGUGGGGAGCAAACA